Molecule: long non-coding RNA, 2893 nt
Organism: Melopsittacus undulatus (budgerigar)
Lineage: Eukaryota; Metazoa; Chordata; Aves; Psittaciformes; Psittaculidae
Exons: 4
Source: RefSeq, a predicted model, not a curated record
GGUGAGAUCCCCACAGCCUCCAGUGUGCUGCUGACCCCUGGAUGCUUUUAAAGUCUCACUUUUUUGCUUCAUUUGCUCAAUUAUUUCUGUUUUCAUUCACAAGGAGAAUCUACAGAGACAUGGAGCAAACCCAGAGGAAAGGGGCUGUAAACCACCAGCCAAGUGACAGUGAACAGGGACACGUGGGCUCCAUUGCAGUGGGUGGCACAAGCUGGUGUGAAGCAGAUUUCCUCCAUAGUGCAAAAAGCCUUCACUGUGUGUACAUCCUGCUGUGAGGCUCCAUGGAGCAUCACUCUGGGUCCCUGUGUCUGUGACUGCCUGUGGAGCUGUGUUCUGGAGCCAGAUUACCCAGAGCUUGCGGUGGCAGGUACAGCAUCAGUCCACCUGCACUGGAACAAAACAACAACCUGCUGAGGGCACUAUCAGAGCUCCUGUGCCCCUUGUUUGACAGAAGACAAGUGCUGGAGAGUCACUGGAGGGUAGAUCCAGAGCUGCAGAGCUCCAGGCACAUCCCUAUCCGUGUUGGUGCAGUGCUGAGGGUAACACACCAACUUGGUUCCACAGAGCCAACUUGAACAGGAUCCAGUGUGACCGUGGUGCCUCUUCCACCCCAGCUCAUGGGAUGAGAGAAUUGUCCCUUUGCAGUCUGUGAAGUGUCCAGCCCAAAGACUCUAAGUACCAGCCCUCAGCACUACCCAGUGUGCAUGGCAAAGGCUCAUAGCAUGACCCUCAGCAUCAGGCAGGCUUCGAUCAGGAGCUGCUGUUCCAGGUACACCAAUGCUCAGGCAAUGUCAGGUUUUGUGCCUGCCACAAACCCACCUUGACCUACCUGUGAGCUCCUGAUACAGUCACUUGAGCCUCUCCUCAACAGUGGGGCUGAGCCCAUCCCCACUGCCCCCCAGUGCUGCCCUGUGCCUACAGACACGUCCUGAUGCUACAGCGAGACCUGGACAACCACCAUCCCAUCCCUCCUCCCACUCUGCCUUCUCUGGGUGCAUCACACAGCUUCCCAGCAUUCCCACCUGCUCCCUACCUUCUUUCCCUAUAGAAAAUCUCCUUUUCUAGGAGAGACAGAACCCCAGCGCACCCACAUACCCUUGUACACACAGCAAAGAGGUGACUACUGUGAGGACAACACUCAGCUCCCCAGGCUUUCUUUAGGAUGAGUCUCAAGUUGUUAAGCUCACCCAGCAGUAGCAGGUAGGCAAGCACUGAAUGGGCUGAUGGAGAGACCCAGGAACAGCCAGUACUUCCCUUCUUUGGUGUCCCAGACUGGGGAAGACACCUGAGCAUUUAAUCCUCAUUAACUACACAGAGUCUUGGGGAUCUGGGUGCCUGCAGUCCCAUUUCAGCCUCCAAUGUGUUUAUCCUUGUGAGGUUUGGGGACACCACACUCUGCUUUAAGACAGGAAACAGGAGCCAAGCAGGAGGCAGCAGCAGGGUGAGGAGCAAACCACAUGGCCCCCAAGCUCUGUGUUUAUAAAUGCACUGUAUGACCAUGCAGCUCUCCUAUUAAUGCCUUAAAUGACUGCAGUACUCCUGAUAUCCAUGGAUCCUUCCUCUUUAACUCCUUCACUGAGCUCACAAGCCUACCUGGACGCAUUAACUGGGAUGUGUUUGUCCCUCCGAGAGAAAGGAGAGGUUAUUCCACAGUCCUGGUUUCCUACCUUUGUUUUCCAUGCCAGAUAUGACAGAAAUCAGGAGGCCAGGCCAGGCUUUUCUUCUUCUUUUAUUUCUCUGCCAUAGACACACAGUGUGAGAGAAACCAAGGGGAAGGAUUGCACUGAGAUACGUGGGGAAGGGUGUCCAUGUGCAGAAGCUUCCGUGUCUCCUGUUACAGGACUGCUCAUCACAUACCAAGCCCUGACUGAUGCAGGUGCUCUGAAGAAACAGGAAUGGGUGGGUUGGGGCAGGGGAGCUUCUCACCUUUACCCCAGCCUUAUCCCACAGCAUCCUGAAAUCCCAGCGCCACAAAAGAGCAUCCCAGAACCCCAAAGUUAAAUGCAGAGCAUUAUGUGCCAUUCUGCUCUAUGCACUGCCCUGAAACUCAAGCAGAGAAGGAAAACAGGUUAAAAGGGGCUCGGUUGCCAGAUGCAGUUAAUGCAGGCAGCAAGGUAAGAAACCCCACACGAACAAAUGAAGCCCAAGAAGGAGGAGGGAAGGAGUUUCGCUAGCUGUUUAUUCAGUGUUUCAAGAGACAAGAGCAGGGAAGGGGGAAAAGAAGGCAGACAGCACAGCAACAGGUUUAAAAUAGUACAAAGAUAAUCACAUAGAGAGGAUCUGGUUCCGUAGUUACAGUCAGCACAGGCUGAAAGGGGGGAUUAAAAAACCUGGUACAAAGUGGGACUGAAAGCAGGCAAGUGAAGGGGGUUAAUAGGUUACAGCGUAUUUACAGCCCAGCAGCCAGUGUGCAACAACCCCACGGGGCAGCUUCCAGUGCCUAAAGAGAGAACUUCCUCCUCUCUGUGCUGUUUCAAUAGGAAGGGUUGGGAUUUGUGGCCAGGAGGAGGCUUUCUCAUCCCAAAGGCUCUCACCUACGUAACCCUAUGGGAAGAAAGACUCACUCUACCGUGAUUCAGAAGCCACAGGUCUCACAGGGUGGAUUCUUCACCCUGGGAAUCCACACUAACAUCCAUGUGCUGUUAGAGAGGGACACAAUGGAUUCAAGUCACCAUGCAGAGGCUCUGACUUCCCACUGGGACAGCCCUGGGGUUAAAGUAACCCCAGCCCCAGCUCCCCACAAGGCUGAGGAGGACCCAGCAGCUUGAUAUGAAUCCCAUUCCUAGGGAAACAGCACUUGAUCUCCUGGAAUCCCAAAGGAAAACCUUGUUUCUUCAGAGCUCCCACUCCUGCUCAGCCCCUUCUCCAUGGAACAGCAUCACCCGCAUGAGCA